UUACCUUUCUGAAUGCAAGUUCAGCAACCCAGGCAGCUUUUAUUUACCUACCUACUAGAAUGUAAAGCCCAUUUUAUGCUUAUUUGCUGUCCAGACUAUUUCUAUUUCUAUUAUUUCUAUCUAUCUCUGUCUCUGUCUCUCUCUAUCUCAUUUGAAAUGCCUUUCGUCCUACUAAUUACUGCCCAGAGUGAUGCCACAGAGCAGCACUGCGGUGUAACUUUGCAGUGCUUCCUGCUCACACUCACACACGCAUGCACACAGAGACACAAGCGCGUUGGGAAAGCAGGAAUGCAGGCGAGUUUUGACCUCCGGUGUCCGCACAAUGAGCCGCGGACGAUGCAGAAGGUUGGCUGCUUCUAUACAGACCUGCUUUUGUGCUCUUGUCCAGGGCUUGAUCCUUGGAGCCCUGCGUGCUCAGUAGACGCCAGAGAGAUAGAUGUGAUCUGUUAGCCUCAUCCAGCGCCGGCAGCUGAGCCAUUUUCACACAGGCAGGCAGGUAUGGCAAAGCCUGGGUAACAGAUGAGAACCCAUGGGGAGCUCUUGACUAUGGAGAAUGAAAAAUCAAAAGAAACCAUAUUGGACACAGAUACAAAAGGAGUCCCCUGUUCCUUUUCUAUCCCCCCUUGUUUCUUUUCUCCUCUUCCUUACCAGGCUGUAAUGAAUGUGGAAAACUGCUUCCCCCCUCAAAGUAUGUGAGGACAUAUAGAUUCCAGAUGCUAUUCUAUGCAAAUACUUCCACCCUUCCCUGCUCAGCAGCACUGCCAGUUAACCCUUCUGCCUAUCUGUUUGCUGCCUUUUGCUCUCCACACUGCUGUGAGAAAGGAAAAAAAGGGGAAAAAAAAAGAAAAAAGAAAAAAGAAAGAAAAACCACCUUAAAAAUACCUUAACGUUUAUUUUCAGAGUACAGCUUACAGCUUAACACCGUAUAUAUUGCAUUUGGGCUCAGCACAGCUGAAGGCACAAAGCCACAGUUAACACAUUUCUGGCAUUGAAGUUAAUUUGAUGUUUUAAUCACAUAACAUCAUGGAAAAAAAAAAAAAAA
Long non-coding RNA from Oxyura jamaicensis (ruddy duck), 1042 nucleotides. RefSeq lists it as uncharacterized. Lineage: Eukaryota; Metazoa; Chordata; Aves; Anseriformes; Anatidae. The record is from RefSeq and is a predicted model, not a curated record. The transcript has 2 exons.